This 492-nucleotide ribosomal RNA is filed under the name uncultured bacterium. RNAcentral describes it as "partial 16S ribosomal RNA". It matches the Rfam family "Bacterial small subunit ribosomal RNA", at positions 29 to 507 of the family's 1533-position model. The record is from RNAcentral.
AGUGAACGCUGGCGGUAGGCCUAACACAUGCAAGUCGAACGGCAGCACAGUAAGAGCUUGCUCUUACGGGUGGCGAGUGGCGGACGGGUGAGGAAUACAUCGGAAUCUACUUUUUCGUGGGGGAUAACGUAGGGAAACUUACGCUAAUACCGCAUACGACCUACGGGUGAAAGCAGGGGAUCUUCGGACCUUGCGCGAUUGAAUGAGCCGAUGUCGGAUUAGCUAGUUGGCGGGGUAAAGGCCCACCAAGGCGACGAUCCGUAGCUGGUCUGAGAGGAUGAUCCGCCAGACUGGAACUGAGAAACGGUCCAGACUCCUACGGGAGGCAGCAGUGGGGAAUAUUGGGCAAUGGGCGCAAGCCUGAUCCAGCCAUACCGCGUGGGUGAAGAAGGCCUUCGGGUUGUAAAGCCCUUUUGUUGGGAAAGAAAAGCAGCAGGUUAAUACCCCGCUGUUCUGACGGUACCCAAAGAAUAAGCACCGGCUAACUUCGUG